AACGCACGAGACCUGCGGACCUGCGGAGGGAUCAUUAAUGAGAAGCUGCCCCUCGUGGGUAGACCUCCCACCCUCUGUGAACUUACCUUUGUUGCUUUGGCAGGCCCGUCCUCUGGACCGCCGGCUUCGGCUGGCCCGUGCCUGCCAGAGGAUUCCAAACCCUGUCUGUCAGUGUUGUCUGAGUCAAUAUGAAAUCGUUAAAACUUUUAACAACGGAUCUCUAGAUCGGAAGAGCACACG
RNAcentral lists this unclassified non-coding RNA (240 nucleotides) under soil metagenome. RNAcentral's name for it is "partial contains 5.8S ribosomal RNA, internal transcribed spacer 2, and large subunit ribosomal RNA". The record is from RNAcentral.